AUCUGGGCGGCGGAAUUCAGGAUGGCUGGCGCGUCUUCGCGGCGCGUCGGUCGUUUGAUAUUUCCGUCGCCGAUACGCAGACGUCGCGACCUGUUCGCGGUCGGUCCCUGCUCGGAGGAGCCGCGUUCGAGUUCGUUGCGUGGCGCGUUUCGGCGUGUCACGCGGCGAAGGCGCGGAUCUCUGGCUGGCCGUCGGACAGUAUGCUUAACGGUGUCCGGUGUCGCCUCGCGCGUGCACCGGUACCGGUCAGCGACGAAUUCUUCGGGCCUCUUUCCGACCCGUCUUGAAACACGGACCAAGGAGUCUAACAUGCGCGCGAGUCGCGGGGUGUCGAGCGUACUUCGGUGCGUUCGUUACGUUUGCGAAACCCGUACAUGUCGAAGGCGUAAUGAAAGUGAAUGGGGAAGAUGGUGUUCCGAGUACACGUUCCGCGAUCGUCGGUAUCGCGGCCGGACACCCGCAUUCCCGGGGCGUCUCAACGGCCCGUCGCUGACGCGGACAGUCGUCUCUCGGGGCGGCUGUCGGUCGGCGAUGAACCGA
This 540-nucleotide ribosomal RNA is filed under the name Melanaspis smilacis. RNAcentral describes it as "eukaryotic LSU rRNA". The record is from RNAcentral. Lineage: Eukaryota; Metazoa; Arthropoda; Insecta; Hemiptera; Diaspididae.